RNAcentral lists this ribosomal RNA (423 nucleotides) under uncultured bacterium. Its description in RNAcentral is "bacterial SSU rRNA". It matches the Rfam family "Bacterial small subunit ribosomal RNA", at positions 355 to 774 of the family's 1533-position model. The record is from RNAcentral.
UGAGGAAUAUUGGUCAAUGGGCGCGAGCCUGAACCAGCCAAGUAGCGUGAAGGAUGAAGGUCCUAUGGAUUGUAAACUUCUUUUAUAGCAGAAUAAAGUGACCCACGUGUGGGUUUUUGUAUGUAUGCUAUGAAUAAGGAUCGGCUAACUCCGUGCCAGCAGCCGCGGUAAUACGGAGGAUCCGAGCGUUAUCCGGAUUUAUUGGGUUUAAAGGGUGCGUAGGCGGAAAGAUAAGUCAGCCUGUGAAAGUUUGCGGCUCAACCGUAAAAUUGCAGUUGAUACUGUUUUUCUUGAGUGUACAUAAGGUAGGGUGAAUUCGUGGUGUAGCGGUGAAAUGCUUAGAUAUCACGAAGAACUCCGAUUGCGAAGGCAGCUUACCGGGGUACAACUGACGCUGAUGCACGAAAGUGUGGGUAUCAAACA